AGAGUUUGAUCCUGGCUCANGACGAACGCUGGCGGCACGCCUAACACAUGCAAGUCGAGCGUGAAGCUUCUUAUGGAUCCUUCGGGUGAUGUAAGAAGUGGAGAGCGGCGGACGGGUGAGUAACGCGUGGGAAACCUACCCUAUACAGGGGGAUAGCCUCGGGAAACCGGGAUUAAUACCCCAUAAAACCUUAGCACCGCAUGGUGCAUCGGUCAAAACUCCGGUGGUAUAGGAUGGUCCCGCGUCCCAUUAGCUAGUUGGUGAGGUAACAGCUCACCAAGGCGACGAUGGGUAGCCGGCCUGAGAGGGUGAUCGGCCACACUGGAACUGAGACACGGUCCAGACUCCUACGGGAGGCAGCAGUGGGGAAUAUUGCACAAUGGGCGAAAGCCUGAUGCAGCGAUGCCGCGUGAGCGAUGAAGUCCUUCGGGUCGUAAAGCUCUUGUCCUAUGGGAAGAAUUUUGACGGUACCAUAGGAGGAAGCCCCGGCUUACUACUGCCAACAGCCGCGGUAAUACCUAAGGGGCGAGCGUUGUCCGGAAUCACUGGGCGUAAAGAGUUCGUAAGCGGCUUCAAGUCAGAAUGUUAAAGGCAUUGGCUCACCAAUGUAAGCAUUUGAAACUGUUAGGCUUGAGUGCAGGAGAGGAGAGUGGAAUUCCUAGUGUAGCGGUGAAAUGCGUAGAUAUUAGGAGGAACACCAGUGGCGAAGCGACUCUCUGGACUGUUACUGACGCUGAGGAACGAAAGCGUGGGGAGCGAACAGGAUUAGAUACCCUGGUAGUCCACGCCGUAAACGAUGAGUGCUAGGUGUUGGGGUCGACAGGCUUCAGUGCCGCAGUUAACACAUUAAGCACUCCGCCUGGGGAGUACGAUCGCAAGAUUGAAACUCAAAGGAAUUGACGGGGACCCGCACAAGCAGCGGAGCAUGUGGUUUAAUUCGAAGCAACGCGAAGAACUUACAGAACUUGACAUCCCUCGGACGUUCUAGAGAUAGAACUUUCCUUCGGGGACUGAAGUGACAGGUGGUGCAUGGUUGUCGUCAGCUCGUGUCGUGAGAUGUUGGGUUAAGUCCCGCACGAGCGCAACCCUUACUUUUAUUGCCAUCAGGUCAUGUGGGCACUCUAGAGGGACUGCCGGUGACAAACCGGAGGAAGGUGGGGAUGACGUCAAAUCAUCAUGCCCUUAUGUUUGGGUACACACGUGCUACAAUGGCCGGUACAAUGGGCAGCCAAACCGCAAGGUGGAGCCAAUCCCAAUAAGCCGUCACAGUUCGGAUUGUGGGUGCAACUGGCCCACAUGAAGUUGGUAGUUGAUAGUAAUCGGAAUCAGAAUGUCGCGCUGAAUGCGUUCCCGGGUUUGUACACACCGCCCGUCACUCCCAUGAGAGUUGUUAAUACCCGAAGCAGUCGGGCUAACCUUUUGGAGGCAGACGUCGAAGGUGGGAUCAAUGACUGGGUGAAGUCGUAACAAGGUAACC
RNAcentral lists this ribosomal RNA (1477 nucleotides) under uncultured bacterium. Its description in RNAcentral is "bacterial SSU rRNA". It matches the Rfam family "Bacterial small subunit ribosomal RNA". The record is from RNAcentral.